RNAcentral lists this ribosomal RNA (253 nucleotides) under uncultured bacterium. Its description in RNAcentral is "partial 16S ribosomal RNA". It matches the Rfam family "Bacterial small subunit ribosomal RNA", at positions 524 to 776 of the family's 1533-position model. The record is from RNAcentral.
UACGUAGGGUGCGAGCGUUGUCCGGAAUUAUUGGGCGUAAAGAGCUCGUAGGCGGUUUGUCGCGUCUGCUGUGAAAACCUAAGGCUCAACCUUGGGCUUGCAGUGGGUACGGGCAGACUAGAGUGCGGUAGGGGUGACUGGAAUUCCUGGUGUAGCGGUGGAAUGCGCAGAUAUCAGGAGGAACACCGAUGGCGAAGGCAGGUCACUGGGCCGCAACUGACGCUGAGGAACGAAAGCGUGGGGAGCGAACAGG